RNAcentral lists this long non-coding RNA (337 nucleotides) under Oryza brachyantha (malo sina). RNAcentral's name for it is "long non-coding RNA (OBRA_LNC003567)". Lineage: Eukaryota; Viridiplantae; Streptophyta; Magnoliopsida; Poales; Poaceae. The record is from RNAcentral.
GGGUCAUUUUGACAGAAGAUUGAGUGGGUUUUCCGUAUGGUGGGAAUAUGUUUAGUAGGAUAGCCCGGGGCUUAUACAUUGCUUCGCUUCGCUCGCUUCACUCGUCCAGGCAAGAGCAUCUAGGCGGGGAUGCAAGCAAGUACGAGCCCGGUACCCCUAUCCCGCCCGUAGCAUAGCGCCAAGAAAGAGGAAGAUUGGCUGAUUUUGAUUCAAUAAUCGGAGAUAAAAAAAAGGUAACGAGCUAAGCAAGCAAGCGCAACGAGCAAUCAAACUCCCAUCCCACGAACAAGCAAGGGAUUGAGUACCGAUUUCGUGAUGCACCUAUCCAACGAAUUUU